Molecule: ribosomal RNA, 825 nt
Filed under: Bacillus altitudinis
Lineage: Bacteria; Bacillati; Bacillota; Bacilli; Caryophanales; Bacillaceae
Description: bacterial SSU rRNA
Rfam family: Bacterial small subunit ribosomal RNA
Source: RNAcentral
UGCAAGUCGAGCGGACAGAAGGGAGCUUGCUCCCGGAUGUUAGCGGCGGACGGGUGAGUAACACGUGGGUAACCUGCCUGUAAGACUGGGAUAACUCCGGGAAACCGGAGCUAAUACCGGAUAGUUCCUUGAACCGCAUGGUUCAAGGAUGAAAGACGGUUUCGGCUGUCACUUACAGAUGGACCCGCGGCGCAUUAGCUAGUUGGUGAGGUAACGGCUCACCAAGGCGACGAUGCGUAGCCGACCUGAGAGGGUGAUCGGCCACACUGGGACUGAGACACGGCCCAGACUCCUACGGGAGGCAGCAGUAGGGAAUCUUCCGCAAUGGACGAAAGUCUGACGGAGCAACGCCGCGUGAGUGAUGAAGGUUUUCGGAUCGUAAAGCUCUGUUGUUAGGGAAGAACAAGUGCAAGAGUAACUGCUUGCACCUUGACGGUACCUAACCAGAAAGCCACGGCUAACUACGUGCCAGCAGCCGCGGUAAUACGUAGGUGGCAAGCGUUGUCCGGAAUUAUUGGGCGUAAAGGGCUCGCAGGCGGUUUCUUAAGUCUGAUGUGAAAGCCCCCGGCUCAACCGGGGAGGGUCAUUGGAAACUGGGAAACUUGAGUGCAGAAGAGGAGAGUGGAAUUCCACGUGUAGCGGUGAAAUGCGUAGAGAUGUGGAGGAACACCAGUGGCGAAGGCGACUCUCUGGUCUGUAACUGACGCUGAGGAGCGAAAGCGUGGGGAGCGAACAGGAUUAGAUACCCUGGUAGUCCACGCCGUAAACGAUGAGUGCUAAGUGUUAGGGGGUUUCCGCCCCUUAGUGCUGCAGCUAACGCAUUAA